GAUGAACGCUGGCGGCGUGCCUAAUACAUGCAAGUCGAGCGAACAGACGAGGAGCUUGCUCCUCUGACGUUAGCGGCGGACGGGUGAGUAACACGUGGAUAACCUACCUAUAAGACUGGGAUAACUUCGGGAAACCGGAGCUAAUACCGGAUAAUAUAUUGAACCGCAUGGUUCAAUAGUGAAAGACGGUUUUGCUGUCACUUAUAGAUGGAUCCGCGCCGCAUUAGCUAGUUGGUAAGGUAACGGCUUACCAAGGCAACGAUGCGUAGCCGACCUGAGAGGGUGAUCGGCCACGCUGGAGGUGAGACGGGGUGCAGGCUCCUGCGGGAGGCAGCAGUAGGGAAUCUUCCGCAAUGGGGGAAAGCUUGACGGAGGAACGGCGCGUGAGUGAUGAAGGUCUUCGGAUCGUAAAACUCUGUUAUUAGGGAAGAACAAAUGUGUAAGUAACUAUGCACGUCUUGACGGUACCUAAUCAGAAAGCCACGGCUAACUACGUG
Molecule: ribosomal RNA, 497 nt
Filed under: uncultured bacterium
Lineage: Bacteria
Description: partial 16S ribosomal RNA
Rfam family: Bacterial small subunit ribosomal RNA
Source: RNAcentral